This 18-nucleotide transfer RNA is filed under the name Phasmatidae gen. 2 sp. 1 TRB-2010. RNAcentral describes it as "partial tRNA-Leu". The record is from RNAcentral. Lineage: Eukaryota; Metazoa; Arthropoda; Insecta; Phasmatodea; Phasmatidae.
UUAUAACUUUUAUUAGAA